UCUCGGCUUCUCCCAUUGGCUGGCAGAGCUAUGCGCUCAGGGCGUGCACUCUGUUUAUCAGACAAAUGUUCAGCAUCCUGACAAAAAGCGACGUUUAUAAAGUGCAGAGUUCGCUGUGAUGGAUUACACCGCCUGAUCUUAUUAACACAACAGAAGAAGAAAACAGCUGAUCUUAUUAACACCACAGAA
Molecule: non-coding RNA, 189 nt
Organism: Labrus bergylta (ballan wrasse)
Lineage: Eukaryota; Metazoa; Chordata; Actinopteri; Labriformes; Labridae
Source: RefSeq, a predicted model, not a curated record